GGGCGCUGGCCAGGGUACGCUUUCGAGCGCCCGCGCCCACCCUCCAGCCUGUCAGAAGUAACUUGCGGGUCACGUUCUUGGACAUAAGCAUUCGAAGGUUGCUUUUGGUGAAAAAUCAACUGUCCAUCACUCUUUUUUAAAGUGCUUCCCAGGACCGUCCGCUUUGCCGCCCCAUUCGAAGUUGUAGGGACCAGGCCCGGGACAGAGAACCAAGCCAGAGGGUGAAGUGGCAGGUGUCCCCAGCAAUUCCUUCAUGUUUUGGAUGCGGUUUGGGGUGGAGAGAACGGGGCUUUGCUUAUACAUAAGAUGGAGUAAACAGGGCAGCUGUUUUUUGUUGUUGUGUUUCUGUGUUGCUUCCUUCCACUGAAAACUUUUGUCUGGGGGCAGUGGGAAAGAGAUUUAGGACCAAAGUAAAUCUUAAACGAAUGUAAAUCUUCCUUACAGGAACGGUGACACAAUGCAAGUACAUCUUGAUCUAAUUUUAAUGAAGGAUUGAAAAUAGCUGCUGUGUUCAGUAUCACUGACGCCAAAACGGCUCACUUACAUAAUCUUCUUUGUUGGGAUGUGUCAGUGGCAUGUAUAAUUUUGAUAAAUUAUUAAUGUUAAAGGUUUGGUCGGGCAAUGGUAUUGAAACAAUGUUUUCACAAGUUUUGCAAUACAGUGGAGUGUGAACUUUUGGUUAUCUUGAUAACCUGCGUAUUUUCCAUGCAAAGUGAAAUCAAACCUUGUCCCCAACCAAAAUUCUCUCAACUGUGAAAUAUAGAUUUGUCAGUACUGAAGACAGGAGAAGUUAUUUUCUCAAUGAUAAAGCAGUGCCUUCUAGAUGUCAGGCGCUCCAUUGGGCAUUUUUUUUCUGCUCAUGGAGCUUAUAACAACAAAAAAAUGACUUUUUAAAAAAUAUAAAUGCAUAAGUAUAGAUACUCAACAAAUAUUUGCUGAAUAAUAUACCGGGCAUUCAAAUAAAAAUAAAAAUUCUUCUUGCCCAUCCUUAAAGAAAAUUAUUAUCCUGCUUUAGAGGAAAGAAAGAAAAUAUCAAAGAAAGAUUUGGCAGAAAAACUGAGCUUAAUUUCAGUAUCUAGCCUGAAAGUUUGUAGCUUAAAAUAGGGAUACAGAUUUGGAAAAGAGACAAAGAACACAGAUAGAGUUUCUAGGAGAAAGAUAGCAAUAUUGAUUUAACAUAAUACAUUUUAUGACCUAGCUUUCUUUGAAGAACACAAACUUUGAAAAGGACUGUUUCUUAAAAAAUCAGUAGUUGCUUGCAUUGUGAAAGAAUGUCUAAUUAAAUGGCCUAGUCGUAUCCUUAAUAUUUCACUGUCUGUGCAACUCAUUUUUUAAAUAGUAUGGGAUAAACCUUUCAGUGCAGUUCAGUUGCAUGGAAAAAAGUGUACCUUUCGAAAUCGCCUGAAUUUGCAGUGAGAAAAUCAUCUCCGAUCUUACAUCAGGUAGAAAGUAAGCACUGGCAAUAGCAUCUUGCCAAGAAAAUCUUCAUUCCAGACAAGUGCUGUGUGUGGGGAGAGGUCCUGUGUAAACUGCCUCAUGUGUGAGAUACUCUGUUUUUCCUGAAAGGCCCGUGUAAUAGUUUAUUUGGUGACAUCAGAAAACUAAGUCCCCAACAUUUGUGAGCCUGGAAGCUUCUGGAAAGCCUAGUGUCCUUAUUUAAAAGUGACAACUCAACUCAGAACCUAGCAUUGCUAUGUGAACAACAAGCUGUCUUUGUAGAAUGUGUGUUCUUCUCAGAGCCGAUUUGCUGGUUGAGCAGCCCUGCAGAAGGUCAGGGCCCUGUAUCCAAAUCUUCUGUAGUUCUUGCAAAACUUCAGACUCCAGGCACUUUCCAACCCUUGAAGAAUCAGAAUGUCUGUGAGCAGAACCUGGAAUCUACUCUUAACUGGAACCUCCCAGAAUGAGAGUUUAUCACACCAAGUUUUGAGAAUUCAAGUUUUCUUGCCAAAGUUUAAGGGGCAGCUGUUGCUUUCCUCCCCACAUGCUUACUGCUCUGCUCACUUCCCGUUCAUCUCUUAGUGGGGCCCUGUGGGCAUGGGGGGUGGCAACUGAGACCCCCCACCCCAACCCUGUCGGCUGCUGUACAGGCAAACCCGGAACCCACCUACUAGUAGAGUUAGGAUUGCCUUGGGGCACAAGGCCUGAGACCCCUCCCGCUAUGGGAUCCGUCCCCUCCCAGCCUGUGUGAUCUGUGGAGGCCCAGUCCUAGCGGCCUCCUCUUCAACUGUCCAGAUAAGGUUUCAACCAGAUAAUUGGGAAAGGACCCCAAGGGACAGGAGGCCUGGGAGAGCACAGAGCAAGAAUGCUGAAUGGAAAGCUGUCUGCUGGACACAGUGCAGCACCUACAUUGGAAGAUUUUAGUCCCAAGGCUGGUAAUUUGGUUAACGAAUCCGACUGGGAACCAGGAGGUUGCAGGUUCAAUUCCUGGCCUUGAUCAGUGGGUUAAGGAUCCGGCGUUGCCGUGAGCUGUGGUGUGGGUCGCAGAUGCGGCUUGGAUCCUGAGUUGCUGUAGCUCUGGUGCAGGCCGGUGGCUACAGCUCCGAUUAGACCCCUAGCCUGGGAACCUCCAUAUGCCGCGGGAGCGCCCCUAGAAAAGGC
RNAcentral lists this long non-coding RNA (2598 nucleotides) under Sus scrofa (pig). RNAcentral's name for it is "lncRNA (ENSSSCG00030048680.1)". Lineage: Eukaryota; Metazoa; Chordata; Mammalia; Artiodactyla; Suidae. The record is from RNAcentral.